This 253-nucleotide ribosomal RNA is filed under the name uncultured bacterium. RNAcentral's name for it is "partial 16S ribosomal RNA". It matches the Rfam family "Bacterial small subunit ribosomal RNA", at positions 524 to 776 of the family's 1533-position model. The record is from RNAcentral.
UACGUAGGGUGCGAGCGUUAAUCGGAAUUAUUGGGCGUAAAGCGUGCGCAGGCUGUUUUGUAAGUCAGAUGUGAAAUCCCCGAGCUCAACUUGGGAACUGCGUUUGAAACUACAAGACUAGAAUAUGUCAGAGGGGGGUAGAAUUCCACGUGUAGCAGUGAAAUGCGUAGAGAUGUGGAGGAAUACCAAUGGCGAAGGCAGCCCCCUGGGAUAAUAUUGACGCUCAUGCACGAAAGCGUGGGGAGCAAACAGG